GUUCUUGCUUCAGCAGCAUGUACUAAAGUUGGAAUGACACAGAAGACUAGCCUGGCCCCUGUGCAUGCAAAUCUGUGAAGCAGCCUAUAUUAUA
Molecule: small nuclear RNA, 94 nt
Filed under: Mus pahari (shrew mouse)
Lineage: Eukaryota; Metazoa; Chordata; Mammalia; Rodentia; Muridae
Description: snRNA (MGP_PahariEiJ_G0033551.1)
Source: RNAcentral